GACGAACGCUGGCGGCGUGCUUAACACAUGCAAGUCGAGCGCUGAAGCCUUUCGGGGUGGAUGAGCGGCGAACGGGUGAGUAACACGUGGGUGACCUGCCCUCAGCUCUGGGAUAAGCCUGGGAAACUGGGUCUAAUACCGGAUAUGACCUUCUGUCGCAUGGCGGUUGGUGGAAAGUUCUUGGGCCUUCGGGUUUGGGUUCGGG
This 205-nucleotide ribosomal RNA is filed under the name uncultured bacterium. RNAcentral describes it as "partial 16S ribosomal RNA". It matches the Rfam family "Bacterial small subunit ribosomal RNA", at positions 28 to 235 of the family's 1533-position model. The record is from RNAcentral.